GGCUGGCUGGGUUGAGGAUGAGCAGCUAUGCAAAGAACAACAACAAAAAGGGUUUCCCCCAGCCAACAGCUUCUAAGCUUCCUUCUCUGCAGAGCAAUAUCAAUGAAGAAGAAAAAAAGAGUUCUGGAGGACCCUGAAGACAUACCUGUUUUCCCAGGCACUCAGCUGACACCAAAUUUUUAAAUUUUAAUAUGUUUUAAUCCAUUUUAUCUUUUUAUGUUUUUUAAACGUUUUAUGUUAUGUUUUAAUUCUGUAAACCACCUAGAGAUUUUGAUAUUAGGCGGUAUAUAAAUUCAUUAAAUAAAUAAAUUAAAUCAGUAA
Molecule: long non-coding RNA, 321 nt
Organism: Hemicordylus capensis (graceful crag lizard)
Lineage: Eukaryota; Metazoa; Chordata; Lepidosauria; Squamata; Cordylidae
Exons: 3
Source: RefSeq, a predicted model, not a curated record